RNAcentral lists this ribosomal RNA (486 nucleotides) under uncultured bacterium. Its description in RNAcentral is "partial 16S ribosomal RNA". It matches the Rfam family "Bacterial small subunit ribosomal RNA", at positions 30 to 507 of the family's 1533-position model. The record is from RNAcentral.
AUUGAACGCUGGCGGCAUGCCUUACACAUGCAAGUCGAACGGCAGCACGGGUGCUUGCCCCUGGUGGCGAGUGGCGAACGGGUGAGUAAUACAUCGGAACAUGUCCUGUAGUGGGGGAUAGCCCGGCGAAAGCCGGAUUAAUACCGCAUACGAUCUACGGAUGAAAGCGGGGGACCUUCGGGCCUCGCGCUAUCGGGUUGGCCGAUGGCUGAUUAGCUAGUUGGUGGGGUAAAGGCCUACCAAGGCGACGAUCAGUAGCUGGUCUGAGAGGACGACCAGCCACACUGGGACUGAGACACGGCCCAGACUCCUACGGGAGGCAGCAGUGGGGAAUUUUGGACAAUGGGCGAAAGCCUGAUCCAGCAAUGCCGCGUGUGGGAAGAAGGCCUUCGGGUUGUAAAGCACUUUUGUCCGGAAAGAAAUCCUUGGCCCUAAUACGGUCGGGGGAUGACGGUACCGGAAGAAUAAGCACCGGCUAACUACGUG